AAUUGUGAACUCUGGUCAACUUUUCUCAAGAAGCUUCCACGACAUUAGGCAGAAAUGCCAAUCAUUUUGCAGAGUAAUGUUUUUACCUGGUCAUAUAAUAGAUUAUUAUUAUUUUGAGUACGCCGAAUCUAAUCAAGAAAUCUCUUCGUACAUGACUAAGUCAUGAAAUUGCAAAGGGUCCAAUACAGUUUGCUGAUUCAAGCAAUACCUCUUAAAAAGAACCACCACUAGAGCAGUAGCUUCCAGAUUGGUUCUGUUAUGCUUUGACCUAAAAAAUGUCAUAAAGUAAUCUUAUUUGUCAAGUUUCCUGAGCUAUGUGCCGGCUGCACCAAUUACUAUUAAGACUCAUCUUUUAUUGUCUUCCAAGAGAAGCUGACAAAAAGUUAUCAGAAUUUCAAGUUUGAUGAGCCAAGAUAUCAUGCCUCAUAUUAUCUCUCUUUAAUAUUAAAUGACCAUUCAUGGCCUUGGGAGGAAGAUCUAGAAAUACUUGAGACCCUUCAGCCUGAAGACCUUUCUCGGUUUGCACCUACAAUGCUCUCAAGAGCAUUCUUAGAGUGUUACAUAGCAGGGAAUAUAGAGCAUGAUGAAGCAGAGUCAAUUGUUCAUCAUGUUGAAGAUGUUUGAAUGUUUCUCAUCCUAUAUGCAAGCCUGUGCUCCAAUCCAGCUCAUGACAAGCGGACUCGUCACACUCGACGAGGGUGUAAGUUACGUCUACUCAACUGAAGGCCUAAACUCAAAUGAUGAGAAUUCUGCAUUGCUUCACAUUAUUCAGAUCCAUCAAGAUGACAUUACUUUGAAUGUACAACUUCAGCUUUUGGCUUUUAUUGCAUGGCAUGAAGCCUUCCACCAGCUCAGAACAGUUGAGCAACUUGGUUAUGUCUGUUUGGUCACACAUCGAUAUGACCUCGGUGUGCAUGGCCUGCAGUUCAUUGUUCUGUCUGCUGUGAAGGUACAUCGACACACGGGUCCAGAGCUUUCUUGAGUCUUUCGAAAGUAAACUCCUUAAGAUGAGUGAGGUUGAUUUCAAGAGCCAUUUAAACACACUAAUUGAAUCAAAGAUGGAGAAGGACAAGAAUUUGUGGGAAGAAUCUCAGCGUCACUGGGAAGAGAUAACUAAUAGAACUUUCCUAUUUGAUUGAAUAGAAACUGAGGUCGCAACAUUAAGGAAGCUGGCAAAACAAGAAUUGAUAGCUUUCUUCAACGAGCACAUACGAAUUGGAGCGCAGGAAGGUGCUUAGUGUAUGAGUUUAUGGGAGCAAGCAUACAUCAAAUUUUGAAGUGGAUAACAAUGAAGCAAUUGGACCAAACACAAUACGAAUAGAUAACAUUUUCAGCUUUAGGGCAUCGCAACCUCUUUACGGUUCACACAGAAGAGGGUAUGAACAUAUGGAAGUUCCCAGCAGUUCUAAACAAGCUAGAAAUGAGGAUCUUGGAUAAUGUACUCCUGAAACAUUUCUCCAAAAUCUAUACUACGACGCCACACUUGCCCUAUGGCAUUUGUACCUUA
Molecule: RNA transcript, 1507 nt
Organism: Eucalyptus grandis
Lineage: Eukaryota; Viridiplantae; Streptophyta; Magnoliopsida; Myrtales; Myrtaceae
Gene name: insulin-degrading enzyme-like 1, peroxisomal
Exons: 7
Source: RefSeq, a predicted model, not a curated record